GCGAACGGGUGAGUAACACGUGGGUAACCUGCCCAUCAGAAGGGGAUAACACUUGGAAACAGGUGCUAAUACCGUAUAACAAUCGAAACCGCAUGGUUUCGGUUUGAAAGGCGCUUUUGCGUCACUGAUGGAUGGACCCGCGGUGCAUUAGCUAGUUGGUGAGGUAACGGCUCACCAAGGCAACGAUGCAUAGCCGACCUGAGAGGGUGAUCGGCCACAUUGGGACUGAGACACGGCCCAAACUCCUACGGGAGGCAGCAGUAGGGAAUCUUCGGCAAUGGACGCAAGUCUGACCGAGCAACGCCGCGUGAGUGAAGAAGGUUUUCGGAUCGUAAAACUCUGUUGUUAGAGAAGAACAAGGAUGAGAGUAGAAUGUUCAUCCCUUGACGGUAUCUAACCAGAAAGCCACGGCUAACUACGUGCCAGCAGCCGCGGUAAUACGUAGGUGGCAAGCGUUGUCCGGAUUUAUUGGGCGUAAAGCGAGCGCAGGCGGUUUCUUAAGUCUGAUGUGAAAGCCCCCGGCUCAACCGGGGAGGGUCAUUGGAAACUGGGAAACUUGAG
Molecule: ribosomal RNA, 561 nt
Filed under: Enterococcus avium
Lineage: Bacteria; Bacillati; Bacillota; Bacilli; Lactobacillales; Enterococcaceae
Description: bacterial SSU rRNA
Rfam family: Bacterial small subunit ribosomal RNA
Source: RNAcentral